This 162-nucleotide ribosomal RNA is filed under the name uncultured bacterium. RNAcentral's name for it is "partial 16S ribosomal RNA". It matches the Rfam family "Bacterial small subunit ribosomal RNA", at positions 355 to 509 of the family's 1533-position model. The record is from RNAcentral.
UAGGGAAUUUUCGUCAAUGGGGGGAACCCUGAACGAGCAAUGCCGCGUGUGUGAAGAAGGUCUUCGGAUCGUAAAGCACUGUUGUAAGUGAAGAAUGCCAUAUAGAGGAAAUGCUAUGUGGGUGACGGUAGCUUACCAGAAAGCCACGGCUAACUACGUGCC